GUCUUGCAGGAAAAACGUUCCGUAGGUGAACCUGCGGAAGGAUCAUUA
This 48-nucleotide ribosomal RNA is filed under the name uncultured Cenococcum. RNAcentral describes it as "partial 18S ribosomal RNA". Lineage: Eukaryota; Fungi; Ascomycota; Dothideomycetes; Gloniales; Gloniaceae. The record is from RNAcentral.